RNAcentral lists this ribosomal RNA (465 nucleotides) under uncultured bacterium. Its description in RNAcentral is "partial 16S ribosomal RNA". It matches the Rfam family "Bacterial small subunit ribosomal RNA", at positions 338 to 795 of the family's 1533-position model. The record is from RNAcentral.
CCUACGGGUGGCAGCAGUAGGGAAUCUUCCACAAUGGACGAAAGUCUGAUGGAGCAACGCCGCGUGAGUGAAGAAGGGUUUCGGCUCGUAAAGCUCUGUCGGUAGUGAAGAAAGAUAGAGGUAGUAACUGGCCUUUAUUUGACGGUAAUUACUUAGAAAGUCACGGCUAACUACGUGCCAGCAGCUGCGGUAAUACGUAGGUGGCAAGCGUUGUCCGGAUGUAUUGGGCGUAAAGGGAGUGCAGGCGGUUCAAUAAGUCUGAUGUGAAAGCCUUCGGCUCAACCGGAGAAUUGCAUCAGAAACUGUUGGACUUGAGUGCAGGAGAGGAGGGUGGAACUCCAUGUGUAGCGGUGGAAUGCGUAGAUAUAAGGAAGAACACCAGUGGCGAAGGCGGCUCUCUGGUCUGCAACUGACGCUGAGGCUCGAAAGCAUGGGUAGCGAACAGGAUUAGAUACCCGUGUAGUC